GAUGAACGCUGGCGGCGUGCCUAAUACAUGCAAGUCGAGCGAACAGACGAGGAGCUUGCUCCUCUGACGUUAGCGGCGGACGGGUGAGUAACACGUGGAUAACCUACCUAUAAGACUGGGAUAAUUUCGGGAAACCGGAGCUAAUACCGGAUAAUAUAUUGAACCGCAUGGUUCAAUAGUGAAAGACGGUUUUGCUGUCACUUAUAGAUGGAUCCGCGCCGCAUUAGCUAGUUGGUAAGGUAACGGCUUACCAAGGCAACGAUGCGUAGCCGACCUGAGAGAGUGAUCGGCCACACUGGAAGUGAGACGCGGUCCAGACGCCUGCGAGAGGCAGCAGUAGGGAAUCUUCCGCAAUGGGCGAAAACUUGACGGAGCAACGCCGCGUGAGUGAUGAAGGUCUUCGGAUCGUAAAACUCUGUUAUUAGGGAAGAACAAAUGUGUAAGUAACUAUGCACGUCUUGACGGUACCUAAUCAGAAAGCCACGGCUAACUACGUG
Molecule: ribosomal RNA, 497 nt
Filed under: uncultured bacterium
Lineage: Bacteria
Description: partial 16S ribosomal RNA
Rfam family: Bacterial small subunit ribosomal RNA
Source: RNAcentral